ACUGCGUGUGGUGGUUAAUGCGCUGCACUCUACAGUGUAUCCUAAUACAAUAGUGCACUGCGUGUGGUGGUUAAUGCGCUGCACUCUACAGUGAAUCCUAAUACAUUAGUGCACUGCAUGUGGUGGUUAACUCGCUGCACUCUGCAGUGUAUCCUAAUACAAUAGUGCACUGCAUGUGGUGGUUAAUGCACUGCACUCUACAGUGUAUCCUAAUACAAUAGUGCACUGCAUGUGGUGGUUAACGCGCUGCACUCUGCAGUGUAUCCUAAUACAUUAGUGCACUGCGUGUGGUGGUUAAUGCACUGCACUCUACAGUGUAUCCUAAUACAAUAGUGCACUGCAUGUGGUGGUUAACGCGCUGCACUCUGCAGUGUAUCCUAAUACAUUAGUGCACUGCGUGUGGUGGUUAAUGCACUGCACUCUACAGUGUAUCCUAAUACAAUAGUGCACUGCAUGUGGUGGUUAACGCGCUGCACUCUGCAGUGUAUCCUAAUACAUUAGUGCACUGCGUGUGGUGGUUAAUGUGCUGCACUCUACAGUGUAUCCUAAUACAAUACUGCACUGCAUGUGGUGGUUAAUGCACUGCACUCUACAGUGUAUCCUAAUACAAUAGUGCACUGCAUGUGGUGGUUAAUGCGCUGCACUCUGCAGUGUAU
This is a long non-coding RNA of Apodemus sylvaticus (European woodmouse), 656 nucleotides long. RefSeq lists it as uncharacterized. The transcript is spliced from 4 exons. NCBI's taxonomy places the organism in Eukaryota, Metazoa, Chordata, Mammalia, Rodentia, Muridae. The record is from RefSeq and is a predicted model, not a curated record.